GACGAAGGUGGCGAGCGUUGUUCGGAAUCACUGGGCAUAAAGCGCACGUAGGCGGCGACGUAAGUUGGGUGUGAAAUCCCCCGGCCCAACCGGGGAACUGCGCCCAGUACUGCGUUGCUUGAGGAUCCAAGGGGUGCAUGGAAUUCCACGUGUAGCAGUGAAAUGCGUAGAUAUGUGGAGGAACACCGAUGGCGAAGGCAGCCCCCUGGGUUAACACUGACGCUCAUGCACGAGAGCGUGGGGAGCAAACAGG
This 253-nucleotide ribosomal RNA is filed under the name uncultured bacterium. RNAcentral describes it as "partial 16S ribosomal RNA". It matches the Rfam family "Bacterial small subunit ribosomal RNA", at positions 524 to 776 of the family's 1533-position model. The record is from RNAcentral.